UACGGGGGGGGCAAGCGUUGUUCGGAAUUACUGGGCGUAAAGGGCUCGUAGGUGGCCAACUAAGUCAGACGUGAAAUCCCUCGGCUUAACCGGGGAACUGCGUCUGAUACUGGAUGGCUUGAGUUUGGGAGAGGGACGCGGAAUUCCAGGUGUAGCGGUGAAAUGCGUAGAUAUUGGGAGGAACACCAGUGGCGAAGGCGGCUCACUGGACCGGAACUGACGCUGAUGCGCGAAAGCGUGGGGAGCGAACCGG
Molecule: ribosomal RNA, 253 nt
Filed under: uncultured bacterium
Lineage: Bacteria
Description: partial 16S ribosomal RNA
Rfam family: Bacterial small subunit ribosomal RNA
Source: RNAcentral